Long non-coding RNA from Cydia strobilella, 2022 nucleotides. RefSeq lists it as uncharacterized. Lineage: Eukaryota; Metazoa; Arthropoda; Insecta; Lepidoptera; Tortricidae. The transcript is spliced from 2 exons. The record is from RefSeq and is a predicted model, not a curated record.
UAUAUAUAUCGUUGUCUAAGUACCCACAACACAAGACUUCUUGAGCUUACUGUGGGACUUAGUCAAUCUGUGUGAGAAUGUCCUAUAUUUAUUAAAAAAAAAAAAACACAUAGAAAAAGGGGCAAGCUAUGAUGGCGCCAUCUCUGCAAACCUUUGAUAGUUGCCAACCCCAUUAAGAAACUGGUAGUACUGUAUAUCCCGAGUGAAUACAGAAUAUGUCACUAUUGUUCUGUAUAUGACUAUGGCACGCCUAAAGGUAUAAAGUGUAGUCAGAAUGUGUUAUUUUGGCCCUCAGAAAUUGUAUAACUAGUUUGGACGCAAUACUAUUAUGCCUUUGAUUUACAGCAAUAAUACUAUUUUUUUUGUAUAAAUUAUAAAAUUUGUCAACCCUAUGCGACUUCUGGGCGGUUUUCGUUUAAAUGUUUAUUCAUUAUGUUAUUAAACUUUAAAAGCAAUGUAACUUGGUGACUUUAAUUUAUUAAAAAUCUGGCAUCUGAAAUGCUAUCUUGUAAUGAUCAUUUUAUUUUAAUAGUUAAGAGCCUGACCAUGCUAAAAAGGCUGCCUUUCUACUGAGGCGGAGGUGAGAAGAGACGUGCGGAAAUUAACCAAUAGCAUUGGUUCUCCUCUCCGCUCCGCUGGAUUACAAUCAAUGCUAUUGCUUCAUUCUCACACGUCUCCUCUCAUCUCCCACUCAGUGGAAAGGCAGCCUUAGAGCGUUUUCACAUUGUCCGGAUCGAAGUAAAAUGUAUAACGUAUGUUUUUUAGGGUUCCGUACCAAAAGGGUAAAAACAGUGACAGUUCCAAACAAAUGACAGGCCAGAGACUGCAGGCGGACUGGUAAUCAGUGGGCCCCUUUAGACUCCGCUGUCCGUCUUUUACCAGGCUGUAUCUCAUGAACCGUGAUAGCUAGGCAGUUGAAAUUUUUAACAGAUGAUAUAUUUCAGUUGCCAAUAUAACAACAAAUACUAAAAACAGAAUAAAAUGUGACGUUUUCAACCAAAAGGUACCACAUUGUCGCUUGUUGAUAAUGUUGAUUUCUAAUUGAAGCUAUAUAGAAAUAGCGCCUUACUGACAAGCGACAAUAAGUACCCUUUUGGUUGAAAAUGGCUAAAGUAAAUAUUAAAGUGGGGCUCCUAUACAACAAACGUGAUUUUUUGCGUAAUGGUCGGAACCCUUCGUGCGCGAGUCCGUCUCGCACUUGGCCGGUUCUUAGUAUUUGUCAUUAUAGCGGCAAUAGAAAUUCAUCAUCUGUGAAAAUUUCAACUGUCUAUCACGGCUCACGAGUUACAGCUUGGCCACAAUUUCACCACGGUGACAGGCGCGACAAUUGUAAAACAUCAAUGUUGCUGACGUCACAGGUAUCCAUGGGCUACGGUUACCGCUUACCAUCGGGCGGGCUGUAUUCCUGUUUGCCACCAUCAUUGUAAUAUUUAAAAAAAACUUAUUAUAUCGGCAAAAACCAGGUACGUUUAUGACGAUGAUGAUGACAAUUGUCACAAGAUUUAUAUGAAUUUUCGGUAAUUCUUGACAGGAAAUAAGUUCUGUGUCGGAAUUUUGCGACAAUUGUCGUGUUUCUUGUGACAAUUGUCAUUAGCAUCGCAAAAUAAGUACUUAUUUAUUGGCGAUAUAAUAGAGUUUUUUAUUUAUUAAAAUGUUGGUGGCAAACAAGCACACAGCCCGUUCGAUGGUAAGCGGUUACCGUAGCCUAUGGAGGCAUGUGACGUCAGUAAUAGUGAUUUCGACAAUUGUCGCACCUGUCACCGUGGUGAAAUUGGGGCCUGGUGACAGACGGACAGCGGAGUCUUAGUAAUAGGGUCCCGUUUUUGCUUUUUGGGUACGGAACCUUAAAAAUGACGACUUAAAAGACCCGAGUGUUCAUCAACACUAACUUUAAGUUUAUUAUACCUAACGUCAUAUGAAUCCAACGCAAGCAAUAAAAAUAAUCACGACUGUUCAAGAAAGAUCAUUGUUGUAUAUACCCAAUUAUAAUUUUGCAAUGGAAUAAAUAGUUUUUUAAAAGUG